Molecule: transfer RNA, 1084 nt
Filed under: Melitaea cinxia (Glanville fritillary)
Lineage: Eukaryota; Metazoa; Arthropoda; Insecta; Lepidoptera; Nymphalidae
Description: misc RNA ENSMCXG00005013313.1
Rfam family: tRNA (bases 948-1020)
Source: RNAcentral
UAAACAUUUUUGAAUAUCAUAUCAAAAAUUGACCGCUCCAGCGGGAUUCGAACCCGCGUCUUCGACAUACCGUGUCGACGCUCUAGCCAAUUAAGCUAUGGAACGAUAUACUCGCCAGAGCGAAACUUUUGAUAUGAUGAUUUUUACUUUCGGUUUAAGCGAACCGUGGCGCCGUCUAUAGUGAGUUCUUUACAGAGACUCGUAACUAUUCAAAGUUUCAUAUUACAAUGAAAAUCUUUGACAGGAGACGACACCAUGCUAUUUUAAUAUGUACGAUUUUUAUUUUUGUGUUACCCACAAUUAGGAAUUCUAAACAUUUUUGAAUAUCAUAUCAAAAAUUGACCGCUCCAGCGGGAUUCGAACCCGCGUCUUCGACAUACCGUGUCGACGCUCUAGCCAAUUAAGCUAUGGAACGAUAUACUCGCCAGAGCGAAACUUUUGAUAUGAUGAUUUUUACUUUCGGUUUAAGCGAACCGUGGCGCCGUCUAUAGUGAGUUCUUUACAGAGACUCGUAACUAUUCAAAGUUUCAUAUUACAAUGAAAAUCUUUGACAGGAGACGACACCAUGCUAUUUUAAUAUGUACGAUUUUUAUUUUUGUGUUACCCACAAUUAGGAAUUCUAAACAUUUUUGAAUAUCAUAUCAAAAAUCUUCGACAUACCGUGUCGACACGGUAUGUCGAAGACGCGGGUUCGAAUCCCGCUGGAGCGGUCAAUUUUUGAUAUGAUAUUCAAAAAUGUUUAGAAUUCCUAAUUGUGGGUAACACAAAAAUAAAAAUCGUACAUAUUAAAAUAGCAUGGUGUCGUCUCCUGUCAAAGAUUUUCAUUGUAAUAUGAAACUUUGAAUAGUUACGGGUUUCUGUAAAGAGCUCACUAUAGACGGCGCCACGGUUCGCUUAAACCGAAAUUAAAAAGUAUCAUAUCGAAAAUUUCGCUCGAGCGGGUGCAUCGUUCCAUAGCUUAAUUGGCUAGAGCGCCGACACGGUACGUCGGAGACGCGGGUUCGAACCCCGCUGGAGCGGUCAAUUUUUGAUAUGAUAUUCAAAAAUGUUUAGAAUUCCUAAUGUGGGUAACACAAAAAUAAAA